RNAcentral lists this long non-coding RNA (2161 nucleotides) under Parus major (Great Tit). Its description in RNAcentral is "lncRNA (ENSPMJG00000006833.1)". Lineage: Eukaryota; Metazoa; Chordata; Aves; Passeriformes; Paridae. The record is from RNAcentral.
ACCGCACCUGCGGACCGUAUGGAACUGCAGGGGUUAAAAUCUACAUUGUGAAACGUGCAAAAACUUCAUAUCUCUGACUUCUGAUUAAUCAUGCCUAAACAAUUUAACGAAGGUAGUUGCAAAUUUGCUUCCCCGAGGCCAUGUACCGGAGCCUAACUCACGAGCGAGGAACUCUCCCAGUUACAGGAAUACAUUUGCAUUCAUCUUCCUUGUGGUUACCCCGAAACAAUCAUUUUUCCUUGUCUCUGGCCAUGUCUGAAACCGCACUGUGUGCUCAACAGUAACACACACAGAGCGAGAUUCGGAUCAGAGAUAAUCCUUACUCAGUUCUUAAGCUAAAGUCUAUUGCACCAGAAAGUGCCACAACUGUACUUCAUAUAGGACAUACCCCAAGGAAGAGGCACAAAGCUGAAUCUCCUGAUUUACACAAAGCAGUGACAGCAGCCGCAUGGCUCUAAUUUGACGAGAGAGAAGCCAGUAGAGAGGGAGACUGUUGACUUCUCCACCCAUAAAGUCAGAGAGAGUCACAUGUCAGUCACACCUCAGAUCUCCUUAUGGGUGAUUUUGACUUUUUUUUUUUUUUUUUUAAUUUUUCACGUUUGCAAACUGCUUUGAACGGCUUCUGGGUUAUUUUUUUUAAUUUUAUUCUUUGUUUGUUUUUUUGGGUUUUUUUUGGUACUGCAAGGGAGGACGGAGGCUGCAGCUUCUGAGGAUACGAAGAAUCGCAGAACAAAGCCUUUGCUGGGAUCAUGGGUGAACUGAGGCUCUUCACCUCAAGGCAAGAGACUCUGCUGGUUCUGGCCAGAGCUGUGCCCACAGCAAGGCAGCUGCAUCAUCCCUGUGCUGCGGGGGCUGUCAGCUGGCACUGCCGAGCGGAGCUCAUGUCUCUGUCCCUCUGCCACACAUCCGAGCCCACAGCAGAGGUGGAAGUCCCCAUCGUAGCACAAGAGAGCACUGGGCUGUGCCAAGGAGGAACCUGUGAGACCGAGGCGCAGCCACUCAGUUUCAUGGAGAUGCUACCUGAGAGACCAUCUGCUGCUCUGAUUUGCCUUCAUAAAGAAAUCUCUGAUGGCAGCACCAUCAUGGGUUGCUGGAGAAAGGUUACCAGCUGAGCAAAGCCCCAGUAUGGACACAUGCCCAGCGGAGGCACUGAGGGAAGGUUACUACCCCUCAUAUGUUGUGAAAGACUUCCUGGCCUCUAGACCCCGGUGCUGUGUGCUGCAGUGAUUCCAGAGGAGAAAUGAAGCUCAGGUCUUCUCAGAAACAAGGAAAAUGUAGCAAGGGAGGACCAGAGGAGAAGCUUAUCAAGAAUGUACAGAGCUCACCUUUGGAGACUGUAUACCUGCAGCCCAUGUCACACUGCUUGUGGUCCUCCCAGUGCUGCCUUCACCCAUGAGUAUGGGAUUCCUGUGCAGCUGCAGACAAGUGGAUGGAUUUUUCUCUGAAAUAUUCUAUUUUGAAUUUAUUCCAUGGGCUUUAAGGAGAUCCUCAUAAGCACUCUGCAGAGUAACUACUCCCUGAGUAGCCUAAGGGCUCCUUGCAGAGCAGGCAUGUUUCUGAGCUCUGGAGGAGAGUGCAUGCUCCCAAGGGACCAUACCAAGGAAAUUUAUUUGGCCAUCACUGUGUGCCUGACUAGACACAGCCUUAGGUACUUCUCUGAGUAAGCAGCGUUGAUCUCUACCUUUGGUCUUAGUGAUUGAUGGCAUUAAGUUAUAGGAUGAGCCUAUCUCCUCAGUGACAGAUGGAUUGGGCACACCCUGACAAUUUUUUUCUCAUGCACUUUUGUCAAGGAAAAGAGCAAUCCUUUGAGAGGUUUUUGGGCUAUAAAUAUGUCAUUGUUGAGGACUGAAGUGACAGAGACAGCAGAAGCCUCACCAGCACCAGGGCUUUCAGCUGGACCUGAGAAAGCAGUUCCUCCACAGCCCUGUGCCAGAGCCAGGGGGGAACAGUCCCAUGUCCCUGCCCAGGAUGCGUCAGGAGUUCAAUAUCUGGUGAUACCCUUGCUUUGUGAUCACCUCAUCCCAGCAUUGUGUCUUGCAGCAGUACCCAGAGCAUCCUCAAUCUAGCAGCACCUCACCAGGCAACCUCGGGUUUCCAGCAGCUAGGUCAAGAGCAGAGAGAAGCAACAAAUUCAAGUAAUAAAUAAUGCUGGGGAAAACCA